This 721-nucleotide unclassified non-coding RNA is filed under the name Hevea brasiliensis (rubber tree). Lineage: Eukaryota; Viridiplantae; Streptophyta; Magnoliopsida; Malpighiales; Euphorbiaceae. The record is from RNAcentral.
GUUUCCCUUUCAGGCUGUUUUCUCUUGGUUUACUGUAGUGCAUAGCCUGUAGAACCCUUUUUGGUGGACAAGUAGAAAUGCUUUAGUAUAAUUGGUAGAACUCUAGGGUUAAGAUGAUAUGAAAUGAAUAGUUUCAGAUUUCAAAGGAAAAAAAUUGAAAUAUUUACUUCAGGUUCAUUAUGAGGCUGCACGUUAUUGUUUUUGUCUCCAAGCUCGAGCAUGUUUAUAAAUUGUUAAAGGCCUUUUUAUUUUUAGUGCCCCUUCCAUCUCUAUCCAUUUCAUCUCAGACAUUGGCCUAAAGUUUUAAAAGCAGUCUUUGAUAGAAUUAUGUCCAAGCGGUCUCCAUUUAACAAAAGUCUGAUUUCAGGAUUGUAUUUCCUCAAAUUUCAUAAAGCUAAUGCAAUUAUAUGAAGGAAAGGCUAGGAUCCUAUUUUAGUUUCAUUCUUGGGUAGGAGUGAAUGAGAUACUGAUUUUGAAAAUUCAGUUUUCUUUUUUCUUCCCAGCUUGCUAUGGGGGUCUGUGGGGUUCUGUGAGGCUAGGUGAUUUCCUUUGCUUCAUUUUUGGUCUUCUGUUUUUGCUGUUAACAUGAUAGGAGUGCAUUCCUAGGAUUGAGCUAGAAAAUCUUUUACGGGGCUCAAAACAAAUGAUAUCAUUGAAAUAGUUUUUUCUUCAUUUGACUGGGAGGUAUUUUAAUCUUUUUCCUUCAAAAAAAAAAAUGAAU